RNAcentral lists this long non-coding RNA (7060 nucleotides) under Haliotis rufescens (red abalone). Its description in RNAcentral is "uncharacterized LOC124112463, transcript variant X3". Lineage: Eukaryota; Metazoa; Mollusca; Gastropoda; Lepetellida; Haliotidae. The record is from RNAcentral.
CUAAUAAUUACACUAAUACCUAGAUUUGUGUGUUGUAAACAAGUACACCCCGUGCAAAGAAUACUGAAAUCAGGGACAAUCCCAUCCAUAUUUGCAUGGACUGUGGCCACAACACCAAGGAAACCCCCCUUGAUCCUAUAUGCCAGAACGUCGUAGUUGUGAGGAGAACCUGAUUCCAGAAGGAGGUGUGAUGGACAUGAGACUGAAGGGAAUGAUCAUGCAUCCCACACAGCAUGAGGGGUGUGGGGCACAAUUUGAAAUAAAGGAGACGCAGGUCCAUGUUGAACGACUUGAGAGGGAGUACCAUCUACUCAAUAAUCAUCUGGCUCUUGAGAAUUUUGGAGUAUCAAGAACUAGAACUUACCUGUUUCAUGCAAUAUUAUAUUUCUUUACUGAUUGUGAUACUUUCAAGUGAUGUUUUUAUUUUGAUAAACCCAGUGCCACCAAAAUGUGUAGCAUGUAUUAUGUUUGUUCUGACACUGUUUCCUUUGCUGGAAGACCCAGGACCAUGCUGUUGAUUGCACUGAAAUAGAAAUUCAAAUCCCAUUGUCCUUUGUCCUCAACUCAAAAGUUUUAUACACUUUAGAAAACUAGCUGUCCACUCUGAAGCUUGAUUGGUAUAGCCCCUCAUGAUCAUGUUUGUCUACAGGUGGUAUGUCUGAUGUUGAGAUGACAAAGCUGUGAAGUGUUUGGUAUUUUUCUUGAUCUUGUUCAACCUCACUCAGAAACCCUCACUUCAAAAAAAAUUUGAAAAUACAUUGAAGUUGUGAAGAAAUACAUGCAGAUGUCAAUUGUAUGAAUGCCCAUUGGCCCAUGUAAUAGUUAUUCUACAAAUAGUUGAAACACUGACAUUAAACAGAUGUGCCAAGUGUGUUUGAGGGUAACCUUGUCUUACUCUAAUGAGAAACACAAAUAAUUGGUCAAACAAUGACAAAGAACAUGGAAAUCCACAGUGUAGUUUGUCAACAUCAGUGCCUCUCUGAAACUGUGUCCAGGUUUGCAUCUUUGAAGCAGUAGGAUAGAGCCUCUGAAAAAAAUGAUCUAGCUCAUUGAAAUCAGCAAAACCUGUAUAAAAAUUGAUGUCCACAGGACUGGUAGCGAAACGCCUUAUAGAAAAUAAUUUUGCAGACUGAACAUUUACACAAUUUUGUAAGCGUUUUAUCUCUGCAUGUGCAGAAGCUAAUUUUUCUUCAGUUGUGGCGUGUUGUUUCUCAUGGUAAUCAUGAUCUGCUGUUGGGUGGGGAGUAGACGUUUGGGUCGGGUCACUGGCCGUAGUCGAAGCCAGAUCUGCAGUGUCAGCCGGUGUAGGCAUUGUUGGUACACAGUCCAUGCUAUCCAACCUGAAAAGUGUAAGUCACGGAACAUUUCAUAUUCCCUCGUAAAUAAAGCAUAUCCUAGAAUAGUAAUUUUGGUACCAUAAAAUAUAUUAUCAGGGAUGUGAGCAGGUUUUCCCUCAAAAAGAGGAAAACUUUUGGGGGGUUCACAUAAAUACUUAUACUUUUGAUUGCAUUUUAAGCAAUUUGGUGCAUUUUGGACAACACUCACACAAAGAAAUGUAAUAAGUCAAUGACAAUAGUCAAGUCAAAUAAACAAAGAUGGCGGAUGCAGUAAAAUUUUGAAGUUAAAUCAGUACUUUUAAAAAAUUGGACAUAGCUUCCGCGCACCUGUCUGGGAGCAAUACUGCCAUUAUUAUAAUAAGAAUAUAUUUAUACAUUAUUAUAAUCAUAAUACAUUUACAGUGUCACACACUGUACAGUACAUGCACUGGAAUAGAAAUGAAUGAUUAAAUAAAAUAUUAAUGUCAUGACAAAUUAUGAUUACAACUAUUUUAGUGAACUGUAUAUUAUAUGUAAUAAUUGAUAUGAUAAUAAGAGAUAGUCAAAUCAAUACCUUCUGUCCUGGACCUUGUUGGUUGGUCUACUCUUGGUGGCACUGUUCCAUCUAAAAAUACAUGGAACAGCUCCUGGAACAAGCCUCUUUUUGUGCCCUCCCAGACCUCUUUUAAUUUCACAUUGCUUGAAGUGGUUAGAGCAUACAAAAGUAAUAUUGCGACCAAUCUGAAACAAAAAAAAUUAACAUCAAUAAACAUAUUUAACAAUGUAAUUAAGUUUCUAUUAUUCAAAAUAGUGAAGCUGUAAAAAAUCUUAUAUGUAUAUAACCAUUAUUACAAAAUCUAUGGCCAUAAAAUGUUAAAAGUAGCAUACAUAAGGUAGAAGUUACCUGUAUAUUACCUUAAUGUAUGAACAUUUUCAGUACAAGGAUUGCUGAAAAUAAACCUGACUUGCAGGAUAGCAAAACGACCAUAAUCAUAACAUUUCAUUAACCGGUAGUAUCCUUUAAUCAAAAUAAUAUUUACAUUUUUUUUCAGGCAGCCAUAGAGACAGACAUGCUUAGUCAAUAUAGAUCAAUAGGCCUAGGGCCCAAACCACAAAUAUUUAUUACAUAACUAUUUCUCAAGUAUAAGGUCGACUAUUGUGUCAGUGUUACUUACUGGCAUUGCAUUCAAAUAAAUCUUUCCCCAGAUUAUCAACAUUUAAAUAAAUAAUACAUUUUUUACAUAACAUUAGGUUUGCCGUCUGUUUAUGUCAACCCAUUUGAUGAAGUUCGACACAUGUACCACUACAGACAGGCUGCUUACCUGGAAGAAGUUGCUCACAUCUCGACGUAUGGCUGCGAUCCAUUUCCUCCUGAGAUGCUUGUCUUUAGGAAAAUUGAAAAAAGACAAUUCCGAAGAAACUGCUUUUCUCCGAUCGCUCGUACAGAAUGGGACCGAACAGUGAGCCAUUACUUCCUGUGUGUUGACACUACCUGUAUAAGCAGCGAUGCUCUCCAAGCCUCGCUUUCAAACCGGAAGUACCGAAGUGUGAAAAAGGUCAAUUGACCAUGAUCUGGGCCGGUGUUGAAAUCCACACUGGUAUGAUAGCUUCAUUAUGUGCUGAUCGAACAGUCGUUGACUGACUGUGAUUCAAAUCAGCUAUUAAAUCCCAUGCUGAUCCUAAGUUGACCACCAACCAUCACUCAAAACAUUGGUGAAAUACAUACCACUGGUGGGCAAAAUGUUUUGCAUAGCCCCCACAAUCUCCGACCAUCUGCUAUCAAAACCGAGUGUGAGCAGACCAAACCGACAGCCAACUCACUCCUGUCACUGACCUCGGAGCGUGUCGUGUCCUUGGUGAAACAGAUCCGAUGAAUGGAGAUUUGUUUCCCCCCUACGCUUCUUAGGUUCCUUGAGAAACCCCCUUGGCUGGAUAGGGCAAGGCAAUCGUAACCAAUUUUUCCUUCUUUUUGGCUGCCUCCUUCCUCUUAGUAGUCGGCUAAGAUUUGGCCAACUUCCCAAAUUCCUCGCUAGGGAGAGAUAAACAUUAGAAGCAUCUCACAUUUUCUGUGUUUCAGGAAACCGGUAGCCUGCACUUUCAACACAAGUCAUGUCUACCCCAAGCCACCCACACUUGGUGCAGGCAGGUGGAAUGGACAUCAUCUUGGAAGCCCACCAAACUAAGCUACCAUAGAGCCAUUCAGCAAGCAUAGAUUGCUGAAGACCUAUUCUCACCCUGGUCUUCACUGGUCGCCAGUGCUCAAGGAGGGCUGAGUCCCCUUGUCAACCUGGCCUUAGGUGUCAAAGGUUAUGUGAAAGGUUGAGUAUGACGGAGGUUGAUAUGGUGUCUUCUGUGUGUACAGGGAACCCAGGCUGGUAAUACACAUCUGUAGUGCCUGAUCAGUGGCUUUGGCCUGAGCAUUAGAGAGAGAUUUCUCAUAAAACUUGUUCGUAAAGAGCUUCUCGGAUGACCAGGGUUGACGUAAUAAGUCAAACACAGGAGACGGGCGCCAACCAACCUUCUCAAUUUUGGCCUGGCAAACCAUAAGGAGGAGGGAGCCCGUGGUUUGGUAAGGAGUUGAGCAAUGAGUCCUCCUGGAGAUGAAUGUUUUCAUCUAGAGCUGAGAGCAAUUCUCUCAAAAAUAUCCAUCUUCCGCAGGCCAAUCCGCUUAACCAAAGUAGACUGGGCAGAAUCUGGAAAAAUGUACAUAUUAAAAGUGAUGGAGGCAUUUCAUGUUUACGACUGGCAAACAACUCUUCUGGACGUAUUGAUAUGUUCUAAAUUGAUUUAGGGGGUUUGCCAAGUUGUAUUUUCAACGUUUGACCCACAAAUUUCAUAAAUGCAAAAUGGCCACAACCGAAACUUAAAAAUUCAUUUUUGUCUUAUCUGUGGUACCAAACAUGCUAAGAACAUAAACAAAACAUAAUUUUGUAUGUUUUCAGGUACAAUGUGAUAUAAAUUGUCCUAGGCCGUCACAUGAAAGAAUCUGGCCUGUGUGAGUUGUGGAUAGAAUGUAAUGUAUUGGGUGCCAAUGCAGCUCAGAAUGUGAUGUCCGGCAAAGGCUAUGGUCGUGCAAUGCGAACACACAAACUAACUUUGCAGGCUAUGUGGCAAGUACUGCUCCCUCAACUCAAUGAACAUCUGGACUCUGUUGAUGUUGAGCUUAGGAAAGACCUUAAAUCUUUUGGGACAUUGUCAGACACUGAAGAUAUUGCACAUAUGGUAGACACCCUGGCAUCUGAGAGGUUCCACCAGCCAAUCCUUAAUUUCAUCAAACUCCUAAAAGAAGAAGACCCGAAUGCAGAAUUCUGGUGGGAAUACUUGAUGAUUGUCAGCAUCUUACUUGAUUUUACCAGGGCACAGUGUGAUGGAUCAUGGGAACUCCACUUGUAUGCUUUCAGACGUAUGCUCCCUUUUUUCUCCAGAUAUGACCAUGUAAACUAUGCCCGAUGGGGGACGGUCUACCUGGCUGAAAUGGCCCAGCUCCCACCAAACAUCUUGCGUGAGUUCCAGCAGGGAAAUUUUGUGGUCAAACAUGCAAACCGACGAUUCAAUCAAGUUUCUCCAGACCAAAGUACAGAAUGGUUGAAUGCCAUUGGGAAAUAGAGUGGGGGCUUGGUCGGCAUCACCAAAGUAGCUUCUGCACUAAGCCAAUGGACUCUGUCAUAUAACCUCAGGACGCUGAUGGCAUCACAGACUAAACUAAUGCUCCAUGAAACAACAGAUGAUAAUGACGACAUCUACACUCACAAUGAGUGUACCAAAGGGAGAAGGACGAAAGAUGAUCGAGAUGAAGCAAGACUGGUUACGUCGCUGAAGCAACAUGGGGUCUUCCAUAACAAAGUAGCGACACUACAGAACAUGAUCAACAAGGAUCUGGCCACCGUUCCUAUCCAAGAGUCGUUACUUGGAGCAGAAUAUCUUGGCAAAAAGCAGCUUGACAAGUUUGUUACGGAACGUAUGUGCCUAGCACCAGCAAAUGACGAGCAUGUCGAUCUCAAAGCUCCCAUUCACAAGAAUAAGGCUCUGACAUUUGCCUCACUUUACACUGUUAUGCAAGACAUCAAAGGCAAACAAUGUACAAUAAAGAUGGACAGAAACAUUUUGCAAAGGCUAAUAACAUCUUAUAGGGCAGGACGUGAGGUCAACUUGGACAACAUCCUCCAGCAUGAGCUUAUGUUUGUUCUGCUCUUGCCACAACCAGCGGCAGCCUGCACUCAACGAACAAGUCUGUGCUAGCCAACAUAUUGACCAAGGAUGUACUGACAUCAUCACCCGUUGCACUGGAUGGACCAAGUUGCUUGCUGAUUGAUGGUCAGGCACUAGUGAUGGCUCUCGGAAAACCCCGAAACAUAAGCACAUUUGGAGAAUAUGCAAAAGCAUUUGCAGACGUUGUGUACAAGAUGGGAGCCAACUUUCAGAGGAUUGAUGUUACGUUUGAUCGCUACAGACCAGAGUCAAUCAAAGCAGGAACGAGGACCAAGCGUAAGAAAGGAAAACAACUAGUACGACAAUUUAUUGAAAGUGAGUCAGUUCCGCUGCCAUCUGAUUGGUCCAAAUUCAUGGCACUUGAAGAUAACAAGGCAGAUCUUGCCUUGUUACUGUCCAACUAUUUGAUAGAUCUUAGACCUAGUGGUCAAACAGUGGUUGUUGCAGGCGGAUUCACCGAAGCUACGGUUGCAAAGUCAUCAGAUCCAAAACUAGAUUUGUCUUUGAUUGAUCAUGAUCAUGAGGAAGCUGAUACACGCCUAAUUUUGCACUGUAUUCAUGCUCAUAUGGAGUCAAUGAUUGUGUCUGUAUGCGACACAGAUGUCCUUGUGUUGCUCCUAGCUCACUUCAACAAAAUGGGAUGCACGAACCUGCUGAUGAAAGCUGGAACAUCAAAACAUCCUAAAUAUACCCCAGUACAUGAGAUUCAUGUCAAUUACCCAUCGACCAAAUAUCAUCACUGAUAGCUUUCCAUGCAAUUACUGGAUGUGACAGUGUUUCCCAACUCAGUGGUCACAGCAAGAAGACGGCCUGGCGUGUCUUCCAGCAUCAACACAGCAACUUGAGCCAUCUGGGAAUGGGUAACUUCACCGACGACAUCUCAAAAUCUGCAGAGAAGUUCAUCUGUCAGCUAUAUGGAGUACACGAGGCAGACACGUGUGACGAGGUACGAGUUAAAUUGUUCUGCAUAGGACGAGCACAAGAAGCCUUUACCCCCACAUCUGAUGCGGCACGAUUUCACAUCAUGAGAAGCCAUUACCAAGACAGUGUCUGGAUUCAAGCCCACAUUCUUUCCAUGGUAACAGAUAUGGGUUGGGAUCGCAAAGAUGGGCAGCUGGUACCACGACUUCUUUCUCUACCGCCCAUCCCAAAAGCUUGCUCAGAGAUCAUGUCAUGUGGAUGCUCCAAGGAAUGCCUGAGUAAGCUCUGUAGCUGCAGGAAAAUGCGCUUACCGUGCAUUGAAGCUUGCAAAUGUCACAAGCACGCCGAAGAAUGCAGGAACAUUCUACCUGAUCAUACAUAAACUAUGUCACCAAGUGGCCCUCCACACACAGUUAUGUAAAAUUACAACAAUUUAAAAUAAAAGAUAAAAAGUUUCAUAUUUCUGCAAUGUUAUAUAUGCAUCAUGCAUGGAUUGAUAUUUAAUAUGAAAAAAGUUAUAGAGAUAAGAUUUCACAUUCACUAUGAAGCUCAUUCCUAUACCACGUUGAUCAGUGACAAGACUGUGUUAAUUUUCAUGAAAAAUGGUAACGGUG